UUAGGUUGGGAUCAUGGUGCCAGAGGCAGGACCAAAAUGAGAUCCCCUCAGACAAAUUGGCAACCCCUGGAAUGGAGUGUGGUAUCAACUGAGCCCACUGUGUAUCUCCUCUUGGAUUCUAGGACUCUUACUUUGGAUAAUGGUGUAAUUGAAAUUUCACAUUCAGUAGCUUCUGCUGGUAACUUGACUGAACCUGAGCUAUGAGAUGCUUUAGUCUACCUAGUGGAGGUACAACCCCUAUGAGAGUAAUGUUGGCCUAGCA
Molecule: long non-coding RNA, 262 nt
Filed under: Homo sapiens (human)
Lineage: Eukaryota; Metazoa; Chordata; Mammalia; Primates; Hominidae
Description: HSALNT0080806
Source: RNAcentral